GAUCAGGAUGAACGCUAGCUACAGGCUUAACACAUGCAAGUCGAGGGGCAGCAUUUCAGUUUGCUUGCAAACUGGAGAUGGCGACCGGCGCACGGGUGAGUAACACGUAUCCAACCUGCCGAUAACUCGGGGAUAGCCUUUCGAAAGAAAGAUUAAUACCCGAUGGUAUAAUCAGACCGCAUGGUCUUGUUAUUAAAGAAUUUCGGUUAUCGAUGGGGAUGCGUUCCAUUAGGCAGUUGGUGAGGUAACGGCUCACCAAACCUUCGAUGGAUAGGGGUUCUGAGAGGAAGGUCCCCCACAUUGGAACUGAGACACGGUCCAAACUCCUACGGGAGGCAGCAGUGAGGAAUAUUGGUCAAUGGGCGCAGGCCUGAACCAGCCAAGUAGCGUGAAGGAUGACUGCCCUAUGGGUUGUAAACUUCUUUUAUAUGGGAAUAAAGUUUUCCACGUGUGGAAUUUUGUAUGUACCAUAUGAAUAAGGAUCGGCUAACUCCGUGCCAGCAGCCGCGGUAAUACGGAGGAUCCGAGCGUUAUCCGGAUUUAUUGGGUUUAAAGGGAGCGUAGGUGGACAGUUAAGUCAGUUGUGAAAGUUUGCGGCUCAACCGUAAAAUUGCAGUUGAUACUGGCUGUCUUGAGUACAGUAGAGGUGGGCGGAAUUCGUGGUGUAGCGGUGAAAUGCUUAGAUAUCACGAAGAACUCCGAUUGCGAAGGCAGCUCACUGGACUGCAACUGACACUGAUGCUCGAAAGUGUGGGUAUCAAACAGGAUUAGAUACCCUGGUAGUCCACACAGUAAACGAUGAAUACUCGCUGUUUGCGAUAUACAGUAAGCGGCCAAGCGAAAGCAUUAAGUAUUCCACCUGGGGAGUACGCCGGCAACGGUGAAACUCAAAGGAAUUGACGGGGGCCCGCACAAGCGGAGGAACAUGUGGUUUAAUUCGAUGAUACGCGAGGAACCUUACCCGGGCUUAAAUUGCAUUUGAAUAUAUUGGAAACAGUAUAGCCGUAAGGCAAAUGUGAAGGUGCUGCAUGGUUGUCGUCAGCUCGUGCCGUGAGGUGUCGGCUUAAGUGCCAUAACGAGCGCAACCCUUAUCUUUAGUUACUAACAGGUCAUGCUGAGGACUCUAGAGAGACUGCCGUCGUAAGAUGUGAGGAAGGUGGGGAUGACGUCAAAUCAGCACGGCCCUUACGUCCGGGGCUACACACGUGUUACAAUGGGGGGUACAGAAGGCAGCUACCUGGUGACAGGAUGCUAAUCCCAAAAGCCUCUCUCAGUUCGGAUCGAAGUCUGCAACCCGACUUCGUGAAGCUGGAUUCGCUAGUAAUCGCGCAUCAGCCAUGGCGCGGUGAAUACGUUCCCGGGCCUUGUACACACCGCCCGUCAAGCCAUGAAAGCCGGGGGUACCUGAAGUACGUAACCGCAAGGAGCGUCCUAGGGUAAAACUGGUAAUUGGGGCUAA
Molecule: ribosomal RNA, 1459 nt
Filed under: uncultured Bacteroides sp.
Lineage: Bacteria; Pseudomonadati; Bacteroidota; Bacteroidia; Bacteroidales; Bacteroidaceae
Description: bacterial SSU rRNA
Rfam family: Bacterial small subunit ribosomal RNA
Source: RNAcentral